This is a non-coding RNA of Hysterangium stoloniferum, 71 nucleotides long. The record is from the annotation of a GenBank genome assembly. NCBI's taxonomy places the organism in Eukaryota, Fungi, Basidiomycota, Agaricomycetes, Hysterangiales, Hysterangiaceae.
GGUCCAGUAGCUCAGGUGGCAGAGCACUAGCAUAUAUAGCCAGGUCCUUGGUCCAAUACCGUGCUGGGUCA